UAAGUCCGGUAACGAGCGCAACCCCUAUGUUUAGUUGCCAGCACGUAAAGGUGGGAACUCUAAAGAGACUGCCGGCGACAAGCCGGAGGAAGGUGGGGAUGACGUCAAGUCAUCAUGGCCCUUAUAUCCUGGGCUACACACAUGCUACAAUGGUUGGUACAAUGGGUCGCUAAGCCGUGAGGUGGAGCCAAUCCCAUCAAAGCCAAUCUCAGUUCGGAUUGCAGGCUGAAACUCGCCUGCAUGAAGUUGGAAUCGCUAGUAAUCGUGGAUCAGCAAUGCCACGGUGAAUACGUUCCCGGGCCUUGCACACACCGCCCGUCACACCACGAAAGUUGGUUCUACCCGAAAUGGCUGUGCUAACCCGCAAGGGAGGCAGGCUCCUAAGGUAGGGCUGGUAAUUGGGGUGAAGUCGUAACAAGGUAGCCGUAGGGGAACCUGCGGCUGGAUCACCUCCUUUUUAUGGAGA
This 466-nucleotide ribosomal RNA is filed under the name Candidatus Dadabacteria bacterium. RNAcentral describes it as "bacterial SSU rRNA". It matches the Rfam family "Bacterial small subunit ribosomal RNA", at positions 1081 to 1533 of the family's 1533-position model. Lineage: Bacteria; Pseudomonadati; Thermodesulfobacteriota; Candidatus Dadabacteria. The record is from RNAcentral.